RNAcentral lists this ribosomal RNA (332 nucleotides) under uncultured bacterium. RNAcentral's name for it is "bacterial SSU rRNA". It matches the Rfam family "Bacterial small subunit ribosomal RNA", at positions 568 to 898 of the family's 1533-position model. The record is from RNAcentral.
CGCGUAGGCGGCCUAUUAAGUCGGUUGUGAAAUCUCUCGGCUCAACUGAGAGGGGUCAACCGAAACUGGUGGGCUUGAGGACAGCAGAGGGAAGUGGAAUUCCCGGUGUAGUGGUGAAAUGCGUAGAUAUCGGGAGGAACACCAGUGGCGAAGGCGGCUUCCUGGGCUGUUCCUGACGCUGAGGCGCGAAAGCGUGGGUAGCAAACAGGAUUAGAUACCCUGGUAGUCCACGCCGUAAACUAUGGACACUAGGUAUGGGGGGUAUCGACCCCCUCCGUGCCGAAGUUAACGCUAUAAGUGUCCCGCCUGGGGAGUACGGCCGCAAGGCUAAA